UCAGAUUGAACGCUGGCGGCCCUUCUUACACAUGCAAGUCGAACGGCAGCACGGGUGCUUGCACCUGGUGGCGAGUGGCGAACGGGUGAGUAAUACAUCGGAACAUGUCCUGUAGUGGGGGAUAGCCCGGCGAAAGCCGGAUUAAUACCGCAUACGAUCUACGGAUGAAAGCGGGGGACCUUCGGGCCUCGCGCUAUAGGGUUGGCCGAUGGCUGAUUAGCUAGUUGGUGGGGUAAAGGCCUACCAAGGCGACGAUCAGUAGCUGGUCUGAGAGGACGACCAGCCACACUGGGACUGAGACACGGCCCAGACUCCUACGGGAGGCAGCAGUGGGGAAUUUUGGACAAUGGGCGAAAGCCUGAUCCAGCAAUGCCGCGUGUGUGAAGAAGGCCUUCGGGUUGUAAAGCACUUUUGUCCGGAAAGAAAUCCUUGGCUCUAAUACAGUCGGGGGAUGACGGUACCGGAAGAAUAAGCACCGGCUAACUACGUGCCAGCAGCCGCGGUAAUACGUAGGGUGCGAGCGUUAAUCGGAAUUACUGGGCGUAAAGCGUGCGCAGGCGGUUUGCUAAGACCGAUGUGAAAUCCCCGGGCUCAACCUGGGAACUGCAUUGGUGACUGGCAGGCUAGAGUAUGGCAGAGGGGGGUAGAAUUCCACGUGUAGGCAGUGAAAUGCGUAGAGAUGUGGAGGAAUACCGAUGGCGAAGGCAGCCCCCUGGGCCAAUACUGACGCUCAUGCACGAAAGCGUGGGAGCAAACAGGAUUAGAUACCCUGGUAGUCCACGCCUAAAACGAUGUCAACUAGUUGUUGGGGAUUCAUUUCCUUAGUAACGUAGCUAACGCGUGAAGUUGACCGCCUGGGGAGUACGGUCGCAAGAUUAAAACUCAAAGGAAUUGACGGGGGCCCGCACAAGCGGUGGAUGAUGUGGAUUAAUUCGAUGCAACGCGAAAAACCUUACCUACCCUUGACAUGGUCGGAAUCCUGCUGAGAGGUGGGAGUGCUCGAAAGAGAACCGGCGCACAGGUGCUGCAUGGCUGUCGUCAGCUCGUGUCGUGAGAUGUUGGGUUAAGUCCCGCAACGAGCGCAACCCUUGUCCUUAGUUGCUACGCAAGAGCACUCUAAGGAGACUGCCGGUGACAAACCGGAGGAAGGUGGGGAUGACGUCAAGUCCUCAUGGCCCUUAUGGGUAGGGCUUCACACGUCAUACAAUGGUCGGAACAGAGGGUUGCCAACCCGCGAGGGGGAGCUAAUCCCAGAAAACCGAUCGUAGUCCGGAUUGCACUCUGCAACUCGAGUGCAUGAAGCUGGAAUCGCUAGUAAUCGCGGAUCAGCGUGCCGCGGUGAAUACGUUCCCGGGUCUUGUACACACCGCCCGUCACACCAUGGGAGUGGGUUUUACCAGAAGUGGCUAGUCUAACCGCAAGGAGGACGGUCACCACGGUAGGAUUCAUGACUGGGGUGAAGUCGUAACAAGGUA
This 1475-nucleotide ribosomal RNA is filed under the name uncultured beta proteobacterium. RNAcentral describes it as "16S ribosomal RNA". It matches the Rfam family "Bacterial small subunit ribosomal RNA". Lineage: Bacteria; Pseudomonadati; Pseudomonadota; Betaproteobacteria. The record is from RNAcentral.